This is a long non-coding RNA of Ornithodoros turicata, 2084 nucleotides long. RefSeq lists it as uncharacterized. Lineage: Eukaryota; Metazoa; Arthropoda; Arachnida; Ixodida; Argasidae. The record is from RefSeq and is a predicted model, not a curated record. The transcript is spliced from 6 exons.
GGAAGGAAAACUAAGGAGGGAGCACGACCGUUUCUUUCCGAAUCACAAAAGUGUAGUGGAAGUGACGACAUAUAGUACGCGUCAUGAGGACGUCAUAUCGAUCAGGUGACUGGAGGCAGCCAAUCUGCGGUGAGCCUUCGCCACAACUGGGACAAACAAACUGGGGCAGCUGCCGGCGUGGAUGGUGGUUUCUGGCGCCCGGCGAGGUGUUAGCAAUAAGAGAUAGAUACGAGAUACUAGCAGUUAAGAUUACUAAACCGACGCACAAGUGAUACGAUGGAUAGAGCAGCCCUCCUCUGCUCUUUCGAUAUAUAAGAGCAUAUGUUGGCUCUUCAGAAGGGGAUGCAGUUAGUGCAUUUAUGCACGUUUCACACAGCAGGGACUUCUGAAGUUUGCGCACAACAAAUCCUGCUAUCUUGGCAGCAGUUGCCUUCGAUCGCUUGUCCCGUUCAAGACCUCUUCAGAAUGUGCGGCUCUUGCACUGCUCACAUGGAGUAUCGCAAUGUGCUCCUGUGGCAAGCAGUUGCCAGUGGUGAUGUCUCUGACUUCGUUUUGCACAAUCAGUCGCUUGAAUGCUGCGGCGAACUGUUGGGCACUAGGAUUGUCGUUGCACCGUCCAUGGGAUCUGAUAGCACCAAAGAAAAGUUCGAGAUGAUCUUGGCUCACCUUAUGAGAUGCCCAAGAAUCCAGUCUUCCGAUUGGUCUUCAAUAGUGGGAUGCCAUUUGGAUGUUCUCUCAGGCUGGACAGAUCCCUUGUGUGCGACAUUCUGCAAUGGCAUCCGCAACAGACAUACUUAGAACUUGAGCUGCCAAACUGACUUUCAUUGGUUGUCUUCGCCAAUCGAUAUGUGAGCUGCGGAGACGGUUAGCAAGCGCAUUUCUCACGAGCUUCAGCAUAUGACAAGGAUCCAUGAAAACGACAACAACUUCACCUGUUUCAGGGUGCUGGAAACUUGUCUUCAAAUUUUUGGGGUCACUGAAGUUGCACCCAAGCUGUCUAAACAUUGCGAAGUUUGACGGUGCCCCAUCACAAGUUAAGGAGACAACAGUCGCUCCCACUUCAUGGGCAAGGACAAGACUGCGUUGUACUAGGUCAGCCCUUUGUUCACCGCCAAGUCCAUCAACAAGAAAAUAGCCCAACGGGACCUUCCACCUUCCAUUAAUAGCCACUGCCAUUAUCACGAAUGCUGCCUUAGCCAUUGGCAAGCAAUCGCCAUCUGUUCCAGUGCCCAUGUCAACAUAGCCUUGGAAUUGUUUGCCGUCCCAUUGGAGCUGCUGUCUGAUUGAAAUUUCAUCCACCAUGAGACUGCAUAAUGUUGGAAAGCCUGACUUGCUAUUCUCUGUUGCUUUCAUUUUCAAUGCAUUCAGAGCUUCUUUUGAGAACCCUGGCCUGCCAUCAACUGAUUGGUACCAUUUGCUCAGUGUUUUUGGAUGAGGCAGGCAGGUGUCGAAUACACUCCGUACAUAGUUAUAGGCCCGAGGUGAAUAAAAAUGUAAAGUCAAUGCAAAUGCUCGCAGCUGAGGUGAGUACUGUGUGGGGAGGGGAUUUCCUGUGCGUUUUGCAACCUGUCUUUUCAAUAAUUCUUGAUUUGUAGCACCAAGGCUCUCCAAAACUGCAACAUUCUCCUCAAGCAGGAUCUUCUGUCUUGUUAAAUCCUUAAUCACACCUUUCAGCCCCGCAUUUCUUUUCUUUAAACGUCGAUUUGCCUGUUGAAGUCUCUUUAUCUGUUUGCUGCUUUUGGUAUGUAGGGACGUAUACCACUUGACCCGUUCUCUUAAGAAGGCUUUCUCUGGAGUAUCAGCUGUGGAUUUUGCCUAAAACAGAUCCAUAUACAACAUAAAUUUUUGUGAUGUACAUUUUUCCGUUUUCUGACGUGGUAUGUCCUUGUUAGAAUCUUGUGAGGAUGGGAAGGUUUUAUCCUACAGCACACUUUGCCAUCUGUGCACAGGACCCGUAAACUGACUCAAACCGGCAUAUAUGUGGUGCAUGUAUACAUGGUGUCUACUAAACCCCUCCUUACUGUUUUCUAUCCUUUUAAUAGAACUGUCAGGUCUACUUGAAACGACCACGAGUGGGAAGGAAA